RNAcentral lists this non-coding RNA (557 nucleotides) under Metarhizium anisopliae. Its description in RNAcentral is "sequence contains 18S rRNA gene, ITS1 and ITS2". The stretch from base 166 to 319 matches the Rfam family "5.8S ribosomal RNA". RNAcentral also lists the same sequence under 1 other name. The record is from RNAcentral. Lineage: Eukaryota; Fungi; Ascomycota; Sordariomycetes; Hypocreales; Clavicipitaceae.
UCCGUAGGUGAACCUGCGGAGGGAUCAUUACCGAGUUAUCCAACUCCCAACCCCUGUGAAUUAUACCUUUAAUUGUUGCUUCGGCGGGACUUCGCGCCCGCCGGGGACCCAAACCUUCUGAAUUUUUUAAUAAGUAUCUUCUGAGUGGUUAAAAAAAUGAAUCAAAACUUUCAACAACGGAUCUCUUGGUUCUGGCAUCGAUGAAGAACGCAGCGAAAUGCGAUAAGUAAUGUGAAUUGCAGAAUUCAGUGAAUCAUCGAAUCUUUGAACGCACAUUGCGCCCGUCAGUAUUCUGGCGGGCAUGCCUGUUCGAGCGUCAUUACGCCCCUCAAGUCCCCUGUGGACUUGGUGUUGGGGAUCGGCGAGGCUGGUUUUCCAGCACAGCCGUCCCUUAAAUUAAUUGGCGGUCUCGCCGUGGCCCUCCUCUGCGCAGUAGUAAAACACUCGCAACAGGAGCCCGGCGCGGUCCACUGCCGUAAAACCCCCCAACUUUUUAUAGUUGACCUCGAAUCAGGUAGGACUACCCGCUGAACUUAAGCAUAUCAAUAAGCGGAGGA